This 98-nucleotide unclassified non-coding RNA is filed under the name Xanthomonas phaseoli pv. phaseoli. RNAcentral's name for it is "sX4". It matches the Rfam family "Proteobacterial sRNA sX4", at positions 74 to 167 of the family's 167-position model. Lineage: Bacteria; Pseudomonadati; Pseudomonadota; Gammaproteobacteria; Lysobacterales; Lysobacteraceae. The record is from RNAcentral.
UCACGUAGUGCCGAGUGAAUCCCCCCUCUCCGCCAGAUUGAGGCGAGCAGUUGUGCCAGUGCCGCGUGAGUUUCGCCGGCGGCAUUGGGGGGAUGAGA